AGCAGCCGCGGUAAUUCCAGCUCCAAUAGCGUAUAUUAAAGUUGUUGCAGUUAAAAAGCUCGUAGUUGAAUUUCGGGGUUAGCAAGUUGGUCGUGCCUUCGGUAUGUACUGGCUUUGCUGAUUCCUCCUUCUUGAAGAACUGUGAUGCUAUUAAUUUGGUGUUGCAGGGAAACAGGACUGUUACUUUGAAAAAAUUAGAGUGCUUAAAGCAGGCUAACGCUUGAAUACAUUAGCAUGGAAUAAUGAAAUAGGACGUUUGAUCCUAUUUUGUUGGUUUCUAGGAUUGACGUAAUGAUUAAUAGGGAUAGUUGGGGGCAUUAGUAUUCAAUUGUCAGAGGUGAAAUUCUUGGAUUUAUUGAAGA
RNAcentral lists this ribosomal RNA (362 nucleotides) under uncultured Glomeromycotina. RNAcentral's name for it is "SSU rRNA". It matches the Rfam family "Eukaryotic small subunit ribosomal RNA", at positions 569 to 935 of the family's 1831-position model. Lineage: Eukaryota; Fungi; Glomeromycota. The record is from RNAcentral.